RNAcentral lists this ribosomal RNA (407 nucleotides) under uncultured bacterium. RNAcentral's name for it is "bacterial SSU rRNA". It matches the Rfam family "Bacterial small subunit ribosomal RNA", at positions 355 to 776 of the family's 1533-position model. The record is from RNAcentral.
UGGGGAAUAUUGGGCAAUGGGCGAAAGCCUGACCCAGCAACGCCGCGUGAGGGAAGAAGGUUUUCGGAUUGUAAACCUCUGUCCUUGGUGACGAAGGAAGUGACGGUAGCCAAGGAGGAAGCCCCGGCUAACUACGUGCCAGCAGCCGCGGUAAUACGUAGGGGGCGAGCGUUGUCCGGAAUGACUGGGCGUAAAGGGCGCGUAGGCGGCUUUUUAAGUUAGAAGUGGAAGUCCUGCUUUUAAGGUGGGAAUUGCUUUUAAUACUGGAAGGCUUGAGUGCAGAAGAGGUAAGUGGAAUUCCCAGUGUAGCGGUGAAAUGCGUAGAGAUUGGGAAGAACACCAGUGGCGAAGGCGACUUACUGGGCUGUAACUGACGCUGAGGCGCGAAAGCGUGGGGAGCAAACAGG